This 74-nucleotide transfer RNA is filed under the name Myxococcales bacterium. Its description in RNAcentral is "tRNA-Leu". It matches the Rfam family "tRNA". From Rfam's summary of the family: Transfer RNA (tRNA) molecules are approximately 80 nucleotides in length. Their secondary structure includes four short double-helical elements and three loops (D, anti-codon, and T loops). Further hydrogen bonds mediate the characteristic L-shaped molecular structure. tRNAs have two regions of fundamental functional importance: the anti-codon, which is responsible for specific mRNA codon recognition, and the 3' end, to which the tRNAs corresponding amino acid is attached (by aminoacyl-tRNA synthetases). tRNAs cope with the degeneracy of the genetic code in two manners: having more than one tRNA (with a specific anti-codon) for a particular amino acid; and 'wobble' base-pairing, i.e. permitting non-standard base-pairing at the 3rd anti-codon position. Lineage: Bacteria; Pseudomonadati; Myxococcota; Myxococcia; Myxococcales. The record is from RNAcentral.
GCCGUGGUGGCGGAAUUGGCAGACGCAACCGACUCAGAAUCGGUCCACUCCCGGUUCGACUCCGGGCCUCGGCA